AACGAACGUUGGCGGCAUGGAUUAGGCAUGCAAGUCGAACGAAUGCCGGGGUAGCAAUACCUCGGCGGAAGUGGCGAAAGGGGCAGUAAUACAUGAACAACCUACCCUGGGGUUGGGCAUAGCCGUUCUAACGGACGGGUAAUUCCCAGCGAUUCGGCGAUGCGGGCCUCCGCGUUCCGGGAAACAAUUUCGCCUCGGGAGGGGUUCAUGAGCUAUCAGCUUGUUGGCGGGGUAACGGCCCACCAAGGCUAAGACGGCUAGCGGGUGUGAGAGCACGACCCGCGCCACUGGCACUGAGACACUGGCCAGACACCUACGGGUGGCUGCAGUCGAGGAUCUUCGUCAAUGGGCGCAAGCCUGAACGAGCGAUGCCGCGUGAGCGAUGAAGGCCUUCGGGUUGUAAAGCUCAAAAGGGAUGAGAAAGGGCAACUUGAUCGAAUCCCAGUAAGCUCGGGCUAAGUUCGUGCCAGCAGCCGCGGUAAAAC
Molecule: ribosomal RNA, 485 nt
Filed under: uncultured bacterium
Lineage: Bacteria
Description: bacterial SSU rRNA
Rfam family: Bacterial small subunit ribosomal RNA
Source: RNAcentral